Molecule: non-coding RNA, 29 nt
Filed under: Mus musculus (house mouse)
Lineage: Eukaryota; Metazoa; Chordata; Mammalia; Rodentia; Muridae
Source: RNAcentral
UCCAUUUCUGGUCGCCUCUACCUCUAUAU